GGACGCAUCACUGGUGUUCGGGUUGUCAUGCCAAUGGCACUGCCCGGUAGUUAAAUGCGGAAGAGAUAAGUGCUGAAAGCAUCUAAGCACGAAACUUCCCCCGAGAUGAGUUCUCCCUGACUCCUUGAGAGUCCUGAAGGAACGUUGAAGACGACGACGUUGAUAGGCCGGGUGUGUAAGCGCAGCGAUGCGUUGAGCUAACCGGUACUAAUGAACCGUGAGGCUUAACCUUACAACGCCGAAGCUGUU
Molecule: ribosomal RNA, 249 nt
Filed under: Escherichia coli O45:H2 str. 2010C-3876
Lineage: Bacteria; Pseudomonadati; Pseudomonadota; Gammaproteobacteria; Enterobacterales; Enterobacteriaceae
Description: partial 23S ribosomal RNA
Rfam family: Bacterial large subunit ribosomal RNA
Source: RNAcentral